This 219-nucleotide unclassified non-coding RNA is filed under the name Hevea brasiliensis (rubber tree). Lineage: Eukaryota; Viridiplantae; Streptophyta; Magnoliopsida; Malpighiales; Euphorbiaceae. The record is from RNAcentral.
UUUUAAGCAAUUAGGUGCAUCAACUCUGCUACUGAAACAGUAAUGUGAAGAUAAAUCAUAGAAAUGUUGGCUUUUAUAGUUUCUGCUGCGUCUAAGUUGUGAACUCUUGGAAUUAAGUUUUGUUAGGGUUUACUAAGUGUUGGUUCUGACAAUGGAGGUGAAGAUGAGACGGAAUGGAGCUGCCUGUAGCAAUUAACUGCAUCAAGUUUACUGUUGCAG